Small nucleolar RNA from Ornithorhynchus anatinus (platypus), 138 nucleotides. Lineage: Eukaryota; Metazoa; Chordata; Mammalia; Monotremata; Ornithorhynchidae. The record is from RefSeq and is a predicted model, not a curated record.
CCCCUCUCAGGGUCACAUCUGGGGAGUCUCCAGUACUCCGCCAGUCUCGGCUGUGGGAGGCAGAGUCAAGCAGAGGCUUAUCCAUUCCAUUCCUAGCUUGGGCAGGGGCUAGCGAGUGGAAGGCAAUCUGCCUCAAGU